UCAACCAUAAAAUUGCCAUUGAAACUGGGAGACUUGAGUAUGUUUGAGGUAGGCGGAAUGCGUGGUGUAGCGGUGAAAUGCAUAGAUAUCACGCAGAACUCCGAUUGCGAAGGCAGCUUGCCAAGCCAUAACUGACACUGAAGCACGAAAGCGUGGGUAUCAAACAGGAUUAGAUACCCUGGUAGUCCACGCAGUAAACGAUGAUUACUAGGAGUUUGCGAUAAAAUGUAAGCUCUACAGCGAAAGCGUUAAGUAAUCCACCUGGGGAGUACGCCGGCAACGGUGAAACUCAAAGGAAUUGACGGGGGCCCGCACAAGCGGAGGAACAUGUGGUUUAAUUCGAUGAUACGCGAGGAACCUUACCCGGGUUUGAACGCAGUCCGACCGCCGAUGAAAGUCGGCUUCUAGCAAUAGCGGAUUGCGAGGUGCUGCAUGGUUGUCGUCAGCUCGUGCCGUGAGGUGUCGGCUUAAGUGCCAUAACGAGCGCAACCCUUGCCGUUAGUUACUAACAAGUUAUGUUGAGGACUCUAGCGGGACUGCCAGCGUAAGCUGUGAGGAAGGCGGGGAUGACGUCAAAUCAGCACGGCCCUUACAUCCGGGGCGACACACGUGUUACAAUGGCGUGGACAAAGAGCAGCCACUUGGCGACAAGGAGCUAAUCUCCAAACCACGUCUCAGUUCGGAUCGGAGUCUGCGACUCGACUCCGUGAAGCUGGAUUCGCUAGUAAUCGCGCAUCAGCCAUGGCGCGGUGAAUACGUUCCCGGGCCUUGUACACACCGCCCGUCAAGCCAUGGGAGCCGGGGGUACCUGAAGUCCGUAACCGUGAGGAUCGGCCUAGGGUAAAACUGGUGACUGGGGCUAAGUCGUAACAAGGUAACCA
This 881-nucleotide ribosomal RNA is filed under the name uncultured bacterium. Its description in RNAcentral is "bacterial SSU rRNA". It matches the Rfam family "Bacterial small subunit ribosomal RNA", at positions 609 to 1502 of the family's 1533-position model. The record is from RNAcentral.